Molecule: non-coding RNA, 470 nt
Organism: Paramuricea clavata
Lineage: Eukaryota; Metazoa; Cnidaria; Anthozoa; Malacalcyonacea; Plexauridae
Source: the annotation of a GenBank genome assembly
UGUAAAGCCUGAAGUACACCAGAAAGUGCGUGUCAAAUUAGCCUUUUCCCAAAAGAGAUCACAGUGCAUUCUGGGAUCGUUUGGAGGGACAAAAUAUAUGGAAACAGGCGCCAUAGAAGUAUCUAUUAUCAAAUAUCAACCUUUUAGACCUCGUUUUAAACGACCCAGGACUUACAUAUUUCAAUAAUUAACAGUUUUUGUUGCAAGCCAAUAAAAGAUCGACUCGCAAUUAUCAUAUAACUCAAAUAUAAAAACACAAGCUGAUGUACUGUUCAAUUAUUAGUAGCCCUUUCCAGGACAUAUUAUCUAAUAAUUGGGUUAGAGUAUACUGUAUCUACAGGGCCGUAGCAACCGGGGGGGGCUGGGGGGGCUGCAGCCCCCCAAUAAUUUGCUAAUAAUCAUUCUUUUUUCAAAAUCAUGCAAACUUUAUCAUUUAAUCUGUGACAAACUGCAAAGAAUGAAGAUAUUAC